CCUACGGGAGGCAGCAGUGAGGAAUAUUGGUCAAUGGGCGCGAGCCUGAACCAGCCAAGUAGCGUGAAGGAUGACUGCCCUACGGGUUGUAAACUUCUUUUAUAAAGGAAUAAAGUGAGGCACGUGUGCCUUUUUGUAUGUAUUUUAUGAAUAAGGAUCGGCUAACUCUGGGCCAGCAGCCGCGGUAAUACGGAGGAUCUGAGCGUUAUCCGGUUUUAUUGGGUUUAAAGGGAGCGUAGAUGGGUUAUUAGGUCAGAUGUGAAAGUGUGCGGCUCAACCGUAAAAUUGCAAUUGAUACUGGCAGCCUUGAGUACAGUUGAGGUAGGCGGAAUUCGUGGUGUAGCAGUGAAAUGCUUAGAUAUCACGAAGAACUCCGAUUGCGAAGGCAGCUUACUAAGCUGCCACUGACAUUGAUGCUCGAAAGUGUGGGUAUCAAACGGGAUUAGAUACCCGAGUAGUC
RNAcentral lists this ribosomal RNA (460 nucleotides) under uncultured bacterium. Its description in RNAcentral is "partial 16S ribosomal RNA". It matches the Rfam family "Bacterial small subunit ribosomal RNA", at positions 338 to 795 of the family's 1533-position model. The record is from RNAcentral.